AGAGUUUGAUCCUGGCUCAGAACGAACGCUGGCGGCGUGGAUAAGACAUGCAAGUCGGACGAGAUUUUUCGUUGUAGCAAUACGAUGGAAAGUCUAGUGGCGAACGGGUGCUUAACACGUGGGCAACCUGCCAAGAAGUGGGGGAUAGCUCGCCGAAAGGCGAAUUAAUACCGCAUGUGAUCAGAGAGGACAUCCUUUCGAAAUUAAAGUCGGGGCAACCUGACGCUUUUUGUGGGGCCCGCGGCCUAUCAGCUAGUCGGUGAGGUAACGGCCCACCAAGGCUUUGACGGGUAGCUGGUCUGAGAGGACGACCAGCCACACUGGGACUGAGACACGGCCCAGACACCUACGGGUGGCAGCAGUCGAGAAUUUUUGACAAUGGGGGAAACCCUGAUCGAGCGACGCCGCGUGGAGGAUGAAGGUCUUCGGAUUGUAAACUCCUGUCAUUGGGGAACAAUGCGUGACGGUUAACUGCCGUUGCGUUGAUAGUACCCGAAGAGGAAGAGACGGCUAACUCUGUGCCAGCAGCCGCGGUAAUACAGAGGUCUCAAGCGUUGUUCGGAUUCAUUGGGCGUAAAGGGUGCGUAGGCGGCGCGGUAAGUCGGGUGUGAAAUCUCGGAGCUUAACUCCGAAACUGCAUUCGAUACUGCCGUGCUUGAGGACUGGAGAGGAGACUGGAAUUUACGGUGUAGCGGUGAAAUGCGUAGAUAUCGUAAGGAAGACCAGUGGCGAAAGCGGGUCUCUGGACAGUUCCUGACGCUGAGGCACGAAAGGCCAGGGGAGCAAACGGGAUUAGAUACCCCGGUAGUCCUGGCAGUAAACGGUGCACGUUUGGUGUGGGAGGAUUCGACCCCUUCUGCGCCGGAGCUACGCGUUAAACGUGCCGCCUGGGAGUACGUCGCAGAUUAAACUCAAGAAUUGACGGGGCCCGCACAAGCGGUGGAGUAUGUGGCUCAAUUCGAUGCA
Molecule: ribosomal RNA, 966 nt
Filed under: uncultured bacterium
Lineage: Bacteria
Description: bacterial SSU rRNA
Rfam family: Bacterial small subunit ribosomal RNA
Source: RNAcentral